GAAACGAGAUGUACACUGGGACGAAAAGGUGAACAAGGUGUUUAGAGUCCAAGUUUCUGUUGAUUAGAUUCACUUAGUAAAUCUCAUUUUUGCCUUGUUAGCUGUGUAGUUAAGGACUGCAGAUGCACAGAUGUUGUUUUUAUCGGAGUGGAUAAAAACGGAGAUUCCGUGUGAACGGGUUCAGGCUAACCGCUAAAGCUAACGGCUAAGCUACUUGCGGGCAAGCGUCGUCACCAUAGAGAUAGACAUCUGUGUCUAUGGUCGUCACGGCCUGAGUGGACCUUGAACUAGACAGACUGAGGUGCUUCUGGAUGAGAAGUUACAUGGCGCACCUCUGACCGUUUCUUUUCCUGGGACAUUGGAUUGCUCGUCGACUGGCUGCUGACUUUUGCACACUGAGCUGUGAAUGCCACUACGUGGAUUCUGCUAACUGUGGGUUUGCUGACAGCGGAGAUCAACGCCGCUGCGGGGAUUUCGUGGACCGCUUCCUGUGAUCAUCGUGGGUUUUCUACUCUGCACCGGGACUACGGCGACCAGCUGGAGAUCAACACGCAGACCUGCAACGUUUUGGGAGCACAGCCAGGCUGCUGGGUCCCGUCCCCUCUGCAGUGGAGGCAGCCAUGGAGAUGUUGUACCAGCUCCACUUCUCCAGUCCCUCUACUACUGUCUGCCCCUGCUGGGCCGGGAUAGGAAGCCCUUUCGCCUCCAGGCCCUGACCUCCGCCUCCUGCCCCAGAAACUCUCUGGUAUCUCAGCUCAUAACCUGCCAAAUCGCCAUUCUGGCCCUCCAUUGGAGGUGGCCUCCAACUUACUCUCAGCGAGGUGGAGCUGGCACUCUCGCAGGACACACCCUCUGGUGGAGCUGAGGGCUCUGAUUGGACAAGGGGCAAGGAGGGCAAUCGGCAAAGAGUUUAGGAGAGACCAAAGAAAACAGGAUUGAAAAAGCAAGAGAGGGGGAAAAUACAAGCGAAAGGAUAGGAGAUAAGGAUAAGAAAGGAAACAAUAAGAAAUUAUGGUAAAAUGAACUGAAAGAGAUGACACUGGGACAAAUAUGACUCAGGCAAAAAAGGGGAGCAACUAUAUAAUGUAAAGGCAUAAUGUUAGGCUUUGAGUCUAAUGAAAUAAACCAGAGACAGGAG
This is a long non-coding RNA of Amphiprion ocellaris (clown anemonefish), 1138 nucleotides long. RefSeq lists it as uncharacterized. NCBI's taxonomy places the organism in Eukaryota, Metazoa, Chordata, Actinopteri, Pomacentridae. The record is from RefSeq and is a predicted model, not a curated record. The transcript has 2 exons.